Lathyrus oleraceus (garden pea) is the source of this 493-nucleotide long non-coding RNA. RefSeq lists it as uncharacterized. The transcript has 3 exons. Lineage: Eukaryota; Viridiplantae; Streptophyta; Magnoliopsida; Fabales; Fabaceae. The record is from RefSeq and is a predicted model, not a curated record.
GGGAAACCUAGCACUUCUUUGUUUCAGUGAUCGGAGAUGAUUUGUUUACAGGAUGUCUCUAAUUUUUGAAAUUCGAAAGAGGUGGGAAAAUCUAACUUUAGUACAUUAGAGGUUAGAGUGAUGCAUCAUAGAUUCUUUUUGUAUUGCUUCAGCUUUUACUGGAUUUGAUGAUGUUACUGCAAGUGUUGUUAUAAAAUGUCUGACAACGUACAUAGAUUGGGACAUGAUAUAAUGGCCCAGCAUGCUUUCGUUCGUAGGAAAAGAGCUAGACUCUUUCGUUCGGUCGUUGGUACCAAUUCGUUUGAUGUUGAAGCAUCGUCUUUCGUUGUUCACAUGUCUCCGACAUCAUCAUCCGAGAGACAUGAGUUCAAUGUUGUUGCCUUUAAUGCCCCAAAAAAUCCAACAUGUCGAUGUUGUUCCUGAUGUUUAUCUAGAAGACCUCUCAAACACCUAACUAUGUUGCCUGUAUGUAAAUCAUGUUGUCAAGCACGUG